UUGCACCAUUUUCUACUCGCACUUUGGUUGUAUUUUUCCAGUAACUAGGGGAUUGACAUGGCUUGAUACUCAAAAGAUACAAAAGGCUAUAUAGAGAUCCCCACCCCGCCCCCAAUCCUACCUACCAGCUACCCAGUUUUCUGCCCCAGGGACACUGUGUCGUUCACCAGCUUCUAGGGUGUCUUUUCCAGAGACUCGUUUUAAAAAAAAAAAAAAAAAUUCUGUGCAGAUAGAUUGAGUAUAAGCCUUGUGAAAGGCAUGCCAGACCAGUUCAUAUUUUCACGUUUCGGCGUCUAUGCGUAUUCACAGAAGGUUUCGUCAGUUGGAAUGGUUUCCAGGUCUUGCUCAGAUAUUUGAGUGCCAGACACUGUUAUCCUGCUGGGAUAUAACAAUAAAUAAAAGUCCCUGCGGUCAUGGAGCUUAACAUGCUAGCUGGGCAGUGCCUCUGACAGCCACCAUUCUACUUUUUGUCUUUAUGAAUUUGGUCUGUCUACCUCAU
This is a long non-coding RNA of Canis lupus familiaris (dog), 499 nucleotides long. RefSeq lists it as uncharacterized. Lineage: Eukaryota; Metazoa; Chordata; Mammalia; Carnivora; Canidae. The transcript is spliced from 3 exons. The record is from RefSeq and is a predicted model, not a curated record.